CGCGGAUAUAGUUGGGUUAAACGGUCGCGUAAGGCGGCGUUAUAAGUCAGUCGGUGAAAUACGGCAGCUUAACCUGUAACAGUGCCCGUAGAUACUGUAGACAUAGGAUUAGGUAGCUGUGGGCGGAAUGUGUGGAUGUAGCGGUGAAAUGCUUAGAGAUCACACAGAAUAUCGGCUCAGAAGGCAGCUCACAAAGCCUAAACUCGACGCUGAGGCAAGAGAGUGUGGGGAUCGAACAGGAUUAGAUACCCCGGUAGUCCACGCUGUAUACUAUGAGAAUUAGGUGUAGUGGGGAUACUCAUCUGUGCCGCAGAUAACACAAUAAGCAUUCCACCGGGGGAGUACGGCCGCAAGGUUGAAAUUCAAAGGAAUUGACGGGAGCCCGCACAAGCAGUGGAGUAUGUGGUUUAAUUGGACGCAACGCGAAGAACCUUACCGGAACUUGACAUCCUGAGAAGUAGGAUGUAAUGGCUGAUGUGCCGUUCGGGGAGAUUAGAGACAGGUGGUUCAUGGUUGUCGUCAGCUCGUGUUGUGAGAUGUUGGGUUAAGUCCCGCAACGAGCGCAACCCUUACGCUUAGUUGAUACUAAAGAGCACUCUAGCCGGACUGCCGUUGACAAAACGGAGGAAGGGGGGGAAGACGUCAAGUCAUCAUGCCCCUUACGUUCCGGGCUACACACGUACUACAAUGGCGCAAACAAAGGGAAGAGAGAUCGCGAGAUGGAGCAAACCCCGUAAAAGGCGUCCCAGUUCGGACUGCAGGCUGCAACCCGCCUGCACGAAGUUGGAAUUGAUAGUAAUCGCGGAUCAGC
This 811-nucleotide ribosomal RNA is filed under the name uncultured bacterium. RNAcentral's name for it is "bacterial SSU rRNA". It matches the Rfam family "Bacterial small subunit ribosomal RNA", at positions 544 to 1353 of the family's 1533-position model. The record is from RNAcentral.